AUACGUAGGGGGCAAGCGUUAUCCGGAUUUACUGGGUGUAAAGGGAGCGUAGGUGGUUCUGUAAGUCAGAUGUGAAAGCCCGUGGCUCAACUGCGGGACUGCAUUUGAAACUAUAGAACUAGAGUGCAGGAGAGGUAAGUGGAAUUCCUAGUGUAGCGGUGAAAUGCGUAGAUAUUAGGAGGAACACCAGUGGCGAAGGCGGCUUACUGGACUGUAACUGACACUGAGGCUCGAAAGCGUGGGGAGC
RNAcentral lists this ribosomal RNA (247 nucleotides) under uncultured bacterium. Its description in RNAcentral is "partial 16S ribosomal RNA". It matches the Rfam family "Bacterial small subunit ribosomal RNA", at positions 523 to 769 of the family's 1533-position model. The record is from RNAcentral.